UCGAGAAUUUUUCACAAUGGGGGAAACCCUGAUGGAGCGACGCCGCGUGGAGGAUGAAGGUCUUCGGGUUGUAAACUCCUGUCAUGCGGGAACAAGCAAGUGAUAGUACCGCAAGAGGAAGAGACGGCUAACUCUGUGCCAGCAGCCGCGGUAAUACAGAGGUCUCAAGCGUUGUUCGGAUUCAUUGGGCGUAAAGGGUGCGUAGGUGGUGGCGCAAGUCUGGUGUGAAAUCUCGGAGCUUAACUCCGAAAUUGCACCGGAUACUGCGUGACUCGAGGACUGUAGAGGAGAUCGGAAUUCACGGUGUAGCAGUGAAAUGCGUAGAUAUCGUGAGGAAGACCAGUUGCGAAGGCGGAUCUCUGGGCAGUUCCUGACACUGAGGCACGAAGGCCAGGGGAGCAAACGGGAUUAGAUACCCCGGUAGUCCUGGCAGUAAACGGUGCACGUUUGGUGUGGGCGAGUUC
RNAcentral lists this ribosomal RNA (464 nucleotides) under uncultured Verrucomicrobiota bacterium. Its description in RNAcentral is "bacterial SSU rRNA". It matches the Rfam family "Bacterial small subunit ribosomal RNA", at positions 355 to 833 of the family's 1533-position model. Lineage: Bacteria; Pseudomonadati; Verrucomicrobiota. The record is from RNAcentral.